AAAAAUGAUUCCAGCUGAUUCAUGAUUUCCACUGGCUGAGAAAAGCUCUCUGCCUGUCUGUCUCGUUCCGACUCCUGAAAUCGAAUUUCAAUAUUGAAACAAGUUAUCGCGUGUCAGACAGCCCUGCUCUCAGCGAAGAGUUCCGGAAGGACAUCGAUCUCCUGCCCAAGAUCUACUUCUCAUUCUCUGAGACCGCCAAGGCCCAGUACCGCCGGCUCAUAGACACCUAUGGGACUCACUACAUCCGCCAGGUUGACCUGGGAGGCCGGCUGACGAUGACCACAGCAAUACACACCUGUCAGGCUUCACUUAAGAGACUCUCUACAAACCAGGUGGAAUCCUGCUUGUCAGGUCUUGAUAUGGGCCUUGGGAGAAGUAAAGUUUCCCCUAGCGUCCAAAGUUGCUCCAAAGUUCUGGACAACCAUGACUCGAAGACCUCUGACAGCUCUAGCUUCCUCAGCCACCACACCAAGGUGGUGGGAGGCUCCGGUUGGCUGGGGGAGCUGUCACUCAACCGUAAUGACUCAGUGGGCUUCCAUAGUUGGAUGAGAACCUUGAAGAACAUCCCAGACGUCAUCUACUAUUCUCUGAGUCCUCUGCACCUGCUUAUACCCA
This 615-nucleotide long non-coding RNA is filed under the name Salmo salar (Atlantic salmon). RNAcentral describes it as "lncRNA (ENSSSAG00000109499.1)". The record is from RNAcentral. Lineage: Eukaryota; Metazoa; Chordata; Actinopteri; Salmoniformes; Salmonidae.